UUAAGUUAGAAAGGGCGCACGGUGGAUGCCUUGGCACUAGGAGCCGAUGAAGGACGGGACGAACACCGAUAUGCUUCGGGGAGCUGUAAGCAAGCUUUGAUCCGGAGAUUUCCGAAUGGGGAAACCCACCACUCGUAAUGGAGUGGUAUCCAUAUCUGAAUACAUAGGAUAUGAGAAGGCAGACCCGGGGAACUGAAACAUCUAAGUACCCGGAGGAAGAGAAAGCAAAUGCGAUUCCCUGAGUAGCGGCGAGCGAAACGGGACCAGCCCAAACCAAGAGGCUUGCCUCUUGGGGUUGUAGGACACUCUGUACGGAGUUACAAAGGAACGAGGUAGAUGAAGAGGCCUGGAAAGGCCCGCCAUAGGAGGUAACAGCCCUGUAGUCAAAACUUCGUUCUCUCCUGAGUGGAUCCUGAGUACGGCGGAACACGUGAAAUUCCGUCGGAAUCCGGGAGGACCAUCUCCCAAGGCUAAAUACUCCCUAGUGACCGAUAGUGAACCAGUACCGUGAGGGAAAGGUGAAAAGCACCCCGGAAGGGGAGUGAAAGAGAUCCUGAAACCGUGUGCCUACAAGUAGUCAGAGCCCGUUAACGGGUGAUGGCGUGCCUUUUGUAGAAUGAACCGGCGAGUUACGAUCCCGUGCAAGGUUAAGCAGAAGAUGCGGAGCCGCAGCGAAAGCGAGUCUGAAUAGGGCGAAUUGAGUACGUGGUCGUAGACCCGAAACCAGGUGAUCUACCCAUGUCCAGGGUGAAGUUCAGGUAACACUGAAUGGAGGCCCGAACCCACGCACGUUGAAAAGUGCGGGGAUGAGGUGUGGGUAGGGGUGAAAUGCCAAUCGAACCUGGAGAUAGCUGGUUCUCUCCGAAAUAGCUUUAGGGCUAGCCUCAAGGUAAGAGUCUCGGAGGUAGAGCACUGAUUGGACUAGGGGCCCCUACCGGGUUACCGAAUUCAGUCAAACUCCGAAUGCCGAUGACUUAUCCUUGGGAGUCAGACUGCGAGUGAUAAGAUCCGUAGUCGAAAGGGAAACAGCCCAGACCGCCAGCUAAGGUCCCAAAGUAUACGUUAAGUGGAAAAGGAUGUGGAGUUGCUUAGACAACCAGGAUGUUGGCUUAGAAGCAGCCACCAUUUAAAGAGUGCGUAAUAGCUCACUGGUCGAGUGACUCUGCGCCGAAAAUGUACCGGGGCUAAACGUAUCACCGAAGCUGCGGACUGUUCUUCGAACAGUGGUAGGAGAGCGUUCUAAGGGCUGUGAAGCAAGACCGGAAGGACUUGUGGAGCGCUUAGAAGUGAGAAUGCCGGUAUGAGUAGCGAAAGAGGGGUGAGAAUCCCCUCCACCGAAUGCCUAAGGUUUCCUGAGGAAGGCUCGUCCGCUCAGGGUUAGUCGGGACCUAAGCCGAGGCCGAAAGGCGUAGGCGAUGGAUAACAGGUUGAUAUUCCUGUACCACCUCCUCACCAUUUGAGCAAUGGGGGGACGCAGGAGGAUAGGGUAAGCGCGGUAUUGGAUAUCCGCGUCCAAGCAGUUAGGCUGGGAAAUAGGCAAAUCCGUUUCCCGUGAAGGCUGAGCUGUGAUGGCGAGCGAAUUAGGGUAGCGAAGUUCCUGAUUCCACACUGCCAAGAAAAGCCUCUAGCGAGGUGAGAGGUGCCCGUACCGCAAACCGACACAGGUAGGCGAGGAGAGAAUCCUAAGGUGAUCGAGAGAACUCUCGUUAAGGAACUCGGCAAAAUGACCCCGUAACUUCGGGAGAAGGGGUGCUCUGUUAGGGUGCAAGCCCGAGAGAGCCGCAGUGAAUAGGCCCAGGCGACUGUUUAGCAAAAACACAGGUCUCUGCGAAGCCGUAAGGCGAAGUAUAGGGGCUGACGCCUGCCCGGUGCUGGAAGGUUAAGAGGAGCGCUUAGCGUAAGCGAAGGUGCGAAUUGAAGCCCCAGUAAACGGCGGCCGUAACUAUAACGGUCCUAAGGUAGCGAAAUUCCUUGUCGGGUAAGUUCCGACCCGCACGAAAGGCGCAACGAUCUGGGCACUGUCUCAACGAGAGACUCGGUGAAAUUAUAGUACCUGUGAAGAUGCAGGUUACCCGCGACAGGACGGAAAGACCCCGUGGAGCUUUACUGCAGCCUGAUAUUGAAUGUUGGUACAGCUUGUACAGGAUAGGUAGGAGCCUUGGAAACCGGAGCGCCAGCUUCGGUGGAGGCAUCGGUGGGAUACUACCCUGGCUGUAUUGACCUUCUAACCCGCCGCCCUUAUCGGGCGGGGAGACAGUGUCAGGUGGGCAGUUUGACUGGGGCGGUCGCCUCCUAAAAGGUAACGGAGGCGCCCAAAGGUUCCCUCAGAAUGGUUGGAAAUCAUUCGCAGAGUGUAAAGGCACAAGGGAGCUUGACUGCGAGACCUACAAGUCGAGCAGGGACGAAAGUCGGGCUUAGUGAUCCGGUGGUUCCGCAUGGAAGGGCCAUCGCUCAACGGAUAAAAGCUACCCCGGGGAUAACAGGCUUAUCUCCCCAAGAGUCCACAUCGACGGGGAGGUUUGGCACCUCGAUGUCGGCUCAUCGCAUCCUGGGGCUGUAGUCGGUCCCAAGGGUUGGGCUGUUCGCCCAUUAAAGCGGUACGCGAGCUGGGUUCAGAACGUCGUGAGACAGUUCGGUCCCUAUCCGUCGCGGGCGCAGGAAAUUUGAGAGGAGCUGUCCUUAGUACGAGAGGACCGGGAUGGACGCACCGCUGGUGUACCAGUUGUUCUGCCAAGGGCAUCGCUGGGUAGCUAUGUGCGGACGGGAUAAGUGCUGAAAGCAUCUAAGCAUGAAGCCCCCCUCAAGAUGAGAUUUCCCAUUCCGCAAGGAAGUAAGAUCCCUGAAAGAUGAUCAGGUUGAUAGGUCUGAGGUGGAAGUGUGGCGACACAUGGAGCUGACAGAUACUAAUCGAUCGAGGACUUAACCAA
RNAcentral lists this ribosomal RNA (2927 nucleotides) under Bacillus velezensis. RNAcentral's name for it is "23S ribosomal RNA". It matches the Rfam family "Bacterial large subunit ribosomal RNA". Lineage: Bacteria; Bacillati; Bacillota; Bacilli; Caryophanales; Bacillaceae. The record is from RNAcentral.